This 253-nucleotide ribosomal RNA is filed under the name uncultured bacterium. RNAcentral's name for it is "partial 16S ribosomal RNA". It matches the Rfam family "Bacterial small subunit ribosomal RNA", at positions 524 to 776 of the family's 1533-position model. The record is from RNAcentral.
UACGUAGGGGGCUAGCGUUGCUCGGAAUCACUGGGCGUAAAGCGCACGUAGGCGGUUUGCUAAGUCAGGGGUGAAAUCCUGGAGCUCAACUCCAGAACUGCCUUUGAUACUGGCGGACUUGAGUCCGGGAGAGGUGAGUGGAACUGCGAGUGUAGAGGUGAAAUUCGUAGAUAUUCGCAAGAACACCAGUGGCGAAGGCGGCUCACUGGCCCGGUACUGACGCUGAGGUGCGAAAGCGUGGGGAGCAAACAGG